CGCGGCUGCUCCUCGGGGUUAGGCUCAGUCCUGGCCGUCAAGAAAACCAGCACACUGAACGGCCGGUUUCUUUUCCCCCGACCCAUAUUUCAACCGCGACGAAGCGACUGGAUCUUAACACCCAGCCACCCCCGCCUCUCCUGAGUGGUACCGUCAGAAUCCUUCGCAGUCCCCAGCGCGAGGCCUCCCCCCAACACAGCGAGGCAACCGGACCUGCCUGCCGGCUCUGGGCCACCUAGUUGCGGCGGUCUCUGCCUUUCUUUCCCACGCUAAGUCGCGACCUCGUUUCACCACUCAGCGCCGGGACUUCUCGCACGGCACCGCCAUAGGCCGAACCCUCGUAACGAACCUCGCACACUCGGCCCUACCGGGGCUAUCCUCGCCCUCCGCCUCGGCCCUGGUGGCAGCACUGACCAUGGACCUCCCCCCACACUCCCCCAGGACCGUUCCUCCGGCUUGGUUUCCCCCGCAACCAGGGUGGGCCUCUCAGCAACCCCCCCCCGGCGGGCCCCUCGGAAGGGAGCGGCACGAAAGAGAUGGAACACUGCCUGGAUGUGUUCUAAGUAUGCCAGGGAUGAAGGAAUCAAGACCAUAUCCUAAGGACUGGAAGGAUUCCCGUGGCUGGAGGGACGAGUGGAAAAAACGACUUAUGGGCCUACGAACAUUUGGGAUAGCUGUCAUGAAUCCUAGCUGGCCCCCUCCCCAGUCCCUUCAGUUCCCCAGCUUCCCUCUCACGGUCUCUUAAUUUUGAGGCUUCCUGCCCUCUGCUCCCUUGGCUGGGGGAUUUGUCUGGUGAUGAGACAUGGUGUUGACUUUGCCUGAGCCAGCGAUACAAAGCUGGCCCCUGAAGUCUCAAGACCAAGAACAGGUCAGCUACACAAGCACUGGCUGGAAGAAGGCCUGAGAUAAACAUAAACACUAGUUUGAGGCCCCUUAAGGAAGACCACCAUUUAUGUAUCUCCAAAGGAUCCUUUAUUGACGAGAGCAGGACCGUGGCAUUUAUAUAUAUAUAUAAAAAAAUGUUUGAAGA
This is a non-coding RNA of Microcebus murinus (gray mouse lemur), 1030 nucleotides long. The record is from RefSeq and is a predicted model, not a curated record. NCBI's taxonomy places the organism in Eukaryota, Metazoa, Chordata, Mammalia, Primates, Cheirogaleidae.